UUUUGUUUACAGCAUAGUAAGAUAAUUCUCAUUUUCUGAUCUUUCAAUAGUUGGAUAUUUAUUGGCUCAAGAAGUCCUAUCAGAAAAAGAAAGAAGUAUGUUAAUGAGGUAUAAUAAUGAUAUUAUGUAGAAAUUUAAGUCUCAUAAAAAUUUGGGAACAAAGAAAAUGAAAAAUACAUACUUUACAAAUGGGUCUAAGAAGAUUGAAAAAUAAAAUAACAUUAAUGCAUCAAUUAAUUGAUUACUUAAAAGAAAAAUCUUUGAUAAGUGAAUCAUCUGAAUUGACCAUAAAGGCUUCCCUAGCUGGGCCAGCACAAAGUAUUUUUGAAAGAAUGUUAAAAGGACCUGCCACACAAAAAUCCAAUCCUCUGCUACUAUCCUUUGCUUUAACAUUGUAAUUUUAUUCACCGAAAACAUAGAAUUUUAUAAGGGAUACAUAAACUGGCCCAAUAUUUUUGAUAUUUUUAACUCUCAGAAUGGAUUUACAAAAUAUUCAUAUAAAAAAUUAUCAAAAUAUAAGAACAACAUACUUUUUAGUAAUUUUGAAAUAAUUUAAUUGUAUAUUAUUGGACUUACUUUAAAAGAAAGGCCAAUCAUAGAGUCGCAAAGAAAAACAGCUUACAACAUAUGUUUAAAUCUAUGUAAAAGAAAGGCAAUUAUUAAAAUAUAUUUUAACUAACUGGUGGAGGUCUACAUAUACAAAAAACAAAAACGGAAGAUAAUAAUAUAUUCAAUUAAUGUAAAAAUGAGAAGAGCAUUGUGGGAUUAAAAAACAUACGAUGGUGAUAGAUUGUCUAAAACUAAUAGGAGUACUGGUAUUUCUCAAAACAAUACUGAUGGUUACAAAGAAACUGAAUAAAAG
Long non-coding RNA from Sitophilus oryzae (rice weevil), 862 nucleotides. RefSeq lists it as uncharacterized. The record is from RefSeq and is a predicted model, not a curated record. The transcript is spliced from 4 exons. Lineage: Eukaryota; Metazoa; Arthropoda; Insecta; Coleoptera; Curculionidae.